Molecule: transfer RNA, 74 nt
Filed under: Anaerolineae bacterium
Lineage: Bacteria; Bacillati; Chloroflexota; Anaerolineae
Description: tRNA-Val
Rfam family: tRNA
About the family: Transfer RNA (tRNA) molecules are approximately 80 nucleotides in length. Their secondary structure includes four short double-helical elements and three loops (D, anti-codon, and T loops).
Source: RNAcentral
GGGCGCGUAGCUCAGUUGGUCAGAGCGCCACACUCACAUUGUGGAGGUCAGGGGUUCAAGUCCCUUCGCGCCCA